CCUACGGGGGGCAGCAGUGGGGAAUCUUGCGCAAUGGACGAAAGUCUGACGCAGCGACGCCGCGUGGGUGAUGAAGGCCUUCGGGUUGUAAAGCCCUGUGGGGAGGGACGAAUAAGUGCUGGCUAACAUCCAGCGCGAUGACGGUACCUCCUUCGCAAGCACCGGCUAACUCUGUGCCAGCAGCCGCGGUAAGACAGAGGGUGCAAACGUUGUUCUGAAGUGCUGGGCGUCGGCUGCGUGAGGCGGACGUGAAAGCCCUCGGCUCAACCGGGGAAGUGCAUUCGAAACUGCAGAGCUAGAGUCCCGGAGAGGAUGGUGGAAUUAUCGGUGUAGAGGUGAAAUUCGUAGAUAUCGAGAGGAACACCGGUGGCGAAGGCGGCCAUCUGGACGGUGACUGACGCUGAGACGCGAAAGCGUGGGGAGCAAACAGGAUUAGAUACCCGAGUAGUC
This 450-nucleotide ribosomal RNA is filed under the name uncultured bacterium. Its description in RNAcentral is "partial 16S ribosomal RNA". It matches the Rfam family "Bacterial small subunit ribosomal RNA", at positions 338 to 795 of the family's 1533-position model. The record is from RNAcentral.